Molecule: non-coding RNA, 45 nt
Organism: Schistosoma haematobium
Lineage: Eukaryota; Metazoa; Platyhelminthes; Trematoda; Strigeidida; Schistosomatidae
Source: Rfam
AUCUAGCUGAUGAGUCUCAAAUUGAACGAAACGCGUGUUUCGGAU